This 555-nucleotide long non-coding RNA is filed under the name Dasypus novemcinctus (nine-banded armadillo). RNAcentral's name for it is "lncRNA (ENSDNOG00000049996.1)". Lineage: Eukaryota; Metazoa; Chordata; Mammalia; Cingulata; Dasypodidae. The record is from RNAcentral.
UGGAUUAUUUCUGAAUAUAAUAUUCAAUCACUUUGAAAACAGAUUUCAAACCAUUUAGAAUAUAGACAAUUCUGCAGUCUCUCUUUUUACUAGUACAUGGGUAACAACCAAUAGUGGUCCUCAUUGAAAUGGGCAAAAGGUCAAGAGUUACAGAGUCUGUUUAAAUAUUGUCAAUGAUCUAAGUUCAAGUUAUUGUUGCGUUGCUGACUUUCAAUGCUUACCCUAUUCUUUGGUACCUUGUGAUGUACAUCAUGAUCAUGACUUGUUACUAUCAUAACUCAAAAUUCAGGUAAUUUUUUUUCAUACAAACAGGAUAUCAAUUCUGCAAAAGAGACGUGCUUUUCCAGUUGGAACAGGAAGAAGUGUCAAGAGAAGGAAUAGGUUUUCCUCAAUACCAGAAUCCAGGGAGGCAGUAUGCCUUUAAAACAUGGGAAAUGAUAGAAGUGAUAUUCAGUCAACCUACCUGUAGGAAAGACACUUCUAAAAUCAUGUCAUUGGUAAGUUCAAUUUUAUAUACCCUAGUGUUCCAAAUAGAUACCCAAUGAUGGAAUAAAU